UAAAUAAUCCCAAGAAAAACUGUAAGAGAUGAAGGAUGAUCUAUGAGCUGGUUUUUUGUUUGGAUGUCCUCCAGUCUCCCAUCAAUUAUGUCAUUCUUGCCGAAACCAGGUCGAAAAUUCAACAUUGGGAGCAUUUAAGGGGACAAAGGUCAUUUACGUCAUGUCAGGCCAACGCAGACUAAAUGCAGGAAUCACAGUACAAAUUCUUCUCGAUGUAUUCGAUAUACGAGGAAUUGUUCAUUACGGGAUAGCAGGGAGCGCCGACAACUCUCUAUCUUAUGGGGAUGUUAGCAUCCCAAAGUAUGUUGCUUUUACAGGUUCUUGGAAUUGGAAGGUAAAUUUGGAAUCAACCUGUUUAUAAUCCCGUUUGGUAAACUGCUAUCCAAACCUUCAAAAAUAUUUUCUUGGCUAUAAAGUGGAAUCUCUUACAAACAUUGUAAAUUGAUUUGGGAUUUGUUUCUAAACGACAUAUCUGGAUAAAAGUCUGAAGAGCCAACUGAUAGGCAAAGUCUUUGUCUGUAGAGAAUAAAUUACCAAGGAUCACCUUUUACACGGAAGCAGUCUGGCUCUGAGAAGCGAGAUAACAAUAGGCACGGGUGUCAGCCAUGGUACUUUUUAAUUGUAAUGCUAUAUAAAAUAUAAUUUGAAAGUGAAAAUAAUAUUCUUUGAAGAA
Long non-coding RNA from Papaver somniferum (opium poppy), 673 nucleotides. RefSeq lists it as uncharacterized. The transcript is spliced from 3 exons. The record is from RefSeq and is a predicted model, not a curated record. NCBI's taxonomy places the organism in Eukaryota, Viridiplantae, Streptophyta, Magnoliopsida, Ranunculales, Papaveraceae.